RNAcentral lists this long non-coding RNA (1070 nucleotides) under Bemisia tabaci. RNAcentral's name for it is "lncRNA ENSSSA3NGG009451". Lineage: Eukaryota; Metazoa; Arthropoda; Insecta; Hemiptera; Aleyrodidae. The record is from RNAcentral.
GUACACACUUUACACUUCGGAGCGGUUGUCAGUUUUCGUACUUUGAAAAGAAAUAAUUAAUAAGUCCAAUUUGCAGCGAAAACUUAUACUUGCACUUAAUAUCAUUGCUCUUCGAACGCAAAGGCCUAUCUCAAUUCCCACGUAAGGCAUCUCACGUGCUGGAAACGCUUGGAGUUCGAACGAAAGAAGUAUGUAAAUGUACGAUAGCAAUGUGUUUAAAAUUACUAGUAUCGGCUACUGAUGGCUCUGAUGCGACUAUUCGUGUGGUUGUGCUUGUUGCGUUUGAAAUAUUGAAGGCGAUUUUACAUUUCUUGCCCUAUAGCACGCAACUCGAUAACGUUUUAGUGUAAGCGAUGUAUCUUCACCUGAGUUUUCGCAGAUUGAGCCUAAAGUUGUGACAUUUACAAUUUUCUACGGUUAGAGAGAGGGGGGGGGGUGAGAAUUAUUGUAAAUAUUAUUUCAUUGAUGUUCUAACCAGUCUAUUUUGCUAAGAAAAACGGCAAAGACUCGAUUCUGCGUUGUUUUCGUUCGUCCACAAACUCAAUUUUGACUUGAUCAUUUUAACGUCGCCACUCUGAUAUAUUAGCUCCAAAAACCUGGUGUGAUCCAAUCCUUCUCUUUGGUUGACAAAUCAGUUUGUGUCAAUGGGAAGUCGUUGUUGAUGGAAAGUAGUAGGCUAGUAAAUUUCGCAAAAAAAUUUGCGAAAUCUCUUAUAUCACUUAAUUUAUCAUGACUUUUAUAGUUAACAUUUAGUUCAGUCACCAAUAAAAUUGUUUGAGAGAAGCCACGGAGAGUUAUUGCAAACAUCCUCGAAUGGAACCUUUCCUUAAUUCAGGUUAAUUUGUAUAAAACUCAUUGAUUCAUUGAUUUCCAGAUCGUGUCUGGCAUCUGUCUCGGUUCGUGGUAUGUCGGCAGUUUGACAGGACAAGAGUAUGAUGUCUCUCUGACUGAGGAAAAACAUCUUAUGAACAUUUUGGCGCUGCCAAAUGUCCUCUGAUGAUACGUAAUUUUGGAAAUUGUUCGAUAUUAUUUUUGAAUUUUUUUUGAGUAUUUCGUCGGAAGUGGAUCUA